RNAcentral lists this ribosomal RNA (253 nucleotides) under uncultured bacterium. Its description in RNAcentral is "partial 16S ribosomal RNA". It matches the Rfam family "Bacterial small subunit ribosomal RNA", at positions 524 to 776 of the family's 1533-position model. The record is from RNAcentral.
UACGGGGGGGGCAAGCGUUGUUCGGAAUUAUUGGGCGUAAAGCGCGCGCAGGCGGUCCUUUAAGUCUGAUGUGAAAGCCCACGGCUCAACCGUGGAGGGUCAUUGGAAACUGGGGGACUUGAGUACAGAAGAGAAGAGUGGAAUUCCACGUGUAGCGGUGAAAUGCGUAGAGAUGUGGAGGAACACCAGUGGCGAAGGCGACUCUGUGGUCUGUAACUGACGCUGAGGCGCGAAAGCGUGGGGAGCAAACAGG